This 733-nucleotide ribosomal RNA is filed under the name uncultured bacterium. RNAcentral describes it as "bacterial SSU rRNA". It matches the Rfam family "Bacterial small subunit ribosomal RNA", at positions 90 to 840 of the family's 1533-position model. The record is from RNAcentral.
ACUUAGCAGCGAACGGGUGAGUAACACGUAGAUAAUCUAUCCUAUACUGGGGGAUAGCCCGAUGAAAGUUGGAUUAAUACCGCAUAUAGCUAUAUAGUUGCAUGAUUAUGUAGUGAAAGAUUUAUUGGUAUAGGAGGAGUCUGCGGCACAUUAGCUAGUAGGUGAGGUAAAGGCUUACCUAGGCGACGAUGUGUAGCCGGUCUGAGAGGAUGAACGGCCACAAUGGAACUGAGACACGGUCCAUACUCCUACGGGAGGCAGCAGUGGGGAAUAUUGCACAAUGGGGGAAACCCUGAUGCAGCAACGCCGCGUGAGUGAAGAAGGUUUUCGGAUUGUAAAGCUCUGUUAGCAGGGAAGAGGAAGGACGGUACCUGCAGAGGAAGCCACGGCUAACUACGUGCCAGCAGCCGCGGUAAUACGUAGGUGGCAAGCGUUGUUCGGAAUAACUGGGCGUAAAGGAUGCGUAGGCGGUUAAACAAGUUAUAUGUUAAAUAUAUAGGCUUAACCUGUAGAAAGCAUAUAAAACUGUUUAACUAGAGUGCAGGAGAGGUAAGUGGAAUUCCUAGUGUAGCGGUGAAAUGCGUAGAGAUUAGGAAGAACACCAGUGGCGAAGGCGACUUACUGGACUGUAACUGACGCUGAGGCAUGAGAGCAUGGGGAGCAAACAGGAUUAGAUACCCUGGUAGUCCAUGCUGUAAACGAUGGGUACUAGGUGUGGGUUGUGAAUAACAAU